UGUGGGACCGUUUCCGGGAGCCUUAAAGGGGCCGCGCCUCCGCGAUGGAUGCGGGAGCGGGGCCGACUGGCCCCCCGGGUGUUCCGCAAGCUCAUCCAACUUCCUUCUGCCUGAAUUACCAACUUCCAGGAAAAGGAGACACCGUCCUCACUCCCUGGCCUCUACCUCUUUCUUCAAGCUGUUUCCGCCUCCAGCCCCUCAUUCCUGGUUUCUAUCAGUAGAUGCCAAGCACUGGGCACUGACGCCUGGAAGCCUGGCGUGGUUCGAGCCCCCUCGUGCCAAUGAAACCUUAGAGUUCGCUUUAGAAGCUUCAGAUGUUCUACCGGCCGUGGGCGGUGGCUCACACUUGUAAUCCCAGCACCUUGGGAGGCCGAGGCGGGCGGAUCACCUGAGGUCAGAAGUUCGAGAUCAGUCUGGCCAACAUUGUGAAAUCCCGUCUCUACAAAAAAAAUUAGCCGGUUGUGGUGGCGCGCGCCUGUAAUCCCAGCAACUCGGGAGGCUGAAGCAGGAGAAUCGCUUGAACCGGGGAGGCAGAGGUUGCAGUGAGCCGAGAUCAUGCCACCGCACUGCAGCCUAGACGACAGAGCAGACCCCUUCUCGAAAAUAAAAUAAAAUGCUGGGCGCAGUG
Molecule: long non-coding RNA, 628 nt
Filed under: Homo sapiens (human)
Lineage: Eukaryota; Metazoa; Chordata; Mammalia; Primates; Hominidae
Description: novel transcript
Source: RNAcentral